This 254-nucleotide ribosomal RNA is filed under the name uncultured bacterium. RNAcentral describes it as "partial 16S ribosomal RNA". It matches the Rfam family "Bacterial small subunit ribosomal RNA", at positions 524 to 776 of the family's 1533-position model. The record is from RNAcentral.
UACGGAGGGCGCGAGCGUUGUCCGGAAUCACUGGGCGUAAAGGGCGCGUAGGCGGCCCUGGUAAGUCUGCGGUGAAAGCCCGGGGCUCAACCCCGGGUCGGCCGCAGGUACUGCCGGGCUGGAGUGCCGUAGGGGCAGGCGGAAUUCCGGGUGUAGCGGUGGAAUGCGUAGAGAUCCGGAAGAACACCGGUGGCGAAGGCGGCCUGCUGGGCGGCGACUGACGCUGAGGCGCGACAGCGUGGGGAUCAAACAGG